RNAcentral lists this transfer RNA (69 nucleotides) under Callopanchax monroviae. RNAcentral's name for it is "tRNA-Ala". It matches the Rfam family "tRNA". From Rfam's summary of the family: Transfer RNA (tRNA) molecules are approximately 80 nucleotides in length. The record is from RNAcentral. Lineage: Eukaryota; Metazoa; Chordata; Actinopteri; Cyprinodontiformes; Nothobranchiidae.
AAGGCCUUAGCUUAAUUAAAGCAGCUGCGUUGCAUGCAGAAGAUGUGGGUUGAUGUCCCGUAUGUCUUA